RNAcentral lists this ribosomal RNA (274 nucleotides) under uncultured bacterium. RNAcentral's name for it is "partial 16S ribosomal RNA". It matches the Rfam family "Bacterial small subunit ribosomal RNA", at positions 523 to 796 of the family's 1533-position model. The record is from RNAcentral.
AUACGGAGGGUCCGAGCGUUAUCCGGAAUCAUUGGGUUUAAAGGGUCCGUAGGCGGGAAUCUAAGUCAGUGGUGAAAUCUUGCAGCUCAACUGUAAAAUUGCCAUUGAUACUGGAUUUCUUGAAUUAGUGUGAAGUGGUUAGAAUGUGUAGUGUAGCGGUGAAAUGCAUAGAUAUUACACAGAAUACCAAUUGCGAAGGCAGAUCACUAACACUAUAUUGACGCUAAGGGACGAAAGCGUGGGGAGCGAACAGAAUUAGAAACCCUAGUAGUCC